Molecule: long non-coding RNA, 989 nt
Filed under: Gossypium barbadense (sea-island cotton)
Lineage: Eukaryota; Viridiplantae; Streptophyta; Magnoliopsida; Malvales; Malvaceae
Description: long non-coding RNA (GBAR_LNC016334)
Source: RNAcentral
AAUAAAACAAUGGUUUUGAAAUGAUGAAAAACAUGAAAGGAUUAAAAACGUAAAUAACCCAUCAAUGCUUAAAACCCAUUUCAAAUCCUAAUUAAAAUCUCUAUUCUAUCUGCAACUUCAACAGUCACAUUCAUCUUCUCCUCUGCUUUUCACGCCUAAAUCCCUCCUUCAACUUUGAUUCCGACGAAGCAUAGUAAGGGCAUCGACGGCGCGCCAACACUGGUAAGAACCUCUUCUCUUCCCCUUUUAUUUUCUUUUAGAAACAAGGAAAAAUAAAAAGAAAAACAAAUAAAGAAACCGGGAAAAAGAAGAACCAAAAUCGUCACCUUCAAAACUAUUUUUUUCUGAUCUUUUUUCUCUUGUAUUUUCUUUUAUUUGUUUAAUACAAAACUUUGUCCAACCCUAAUUACAGAAAUCAAUUGGCUUUUUAUAGCCAUAUCCUUUUUUACAAUUUGCUCCCCUUCAGUCACUCCCACUGUUUGUGGUUUAUUGCAGGUAGAAACGGUGUUAUGCGAAACUGCUGAUCGUGGGUGAAGCGACGUGGGAGUGAUGGGCAGUUGCUGCAGCGUGUGAGUAGCGACGUGGGGGCGUGCACGGCGUUAGGGUAGCUGCUGUUAACCACUGUUUAGGGUUAGACUGAGAUUUGGGGUUUGGUUUAGUGAUUUGGGCCGGCCAAAUGUAAUUGGGUUAGAUUGAUUAAUUUGGGCCUCGGGCAUCAAUUGGGUAUUACAAGCUUAAUAAUUAGGGUUGAUAGAGAUUCGAUUUGCAUUGUUUUUGGGAAAAAAUUAGUUACCUAACCAUUUUUGAAAAACAAAUGUUAUUAAUAAAUUAAAACAAAUUCAUAAAUUUAUUAGAAUAUUAAAACAAAUAAAUUCAUAAAUAUUCAAAAUAAAUAUUUAGAUUUUUUAAAAAUAUAUAUUUGAAAAACCAAUAAUAAAAAUGAACUAGAACCUAAUGAAACAAAAAUCCAUUUUUUGUUAAAAAUAAAC